RNAcentral lists this ribosomal RNA (305 nucleotides) under uncultured bacterium. RNAcentral describes it as "partial 16S ribosomal RNA". It matches the Rfam family "Bacterial small subunit ribosomal RNA", at positions 505 to 807 of the family's 1533-position model. The record is from RNAcentral.
ACAGCAGCAGCCGCGGUAAUACGAAGGGGGCUAGCGUUGCUCGGAAUGACUGGGCGUAAAGGGCGCGUAGGCGGUUUUGACAGUCAGAUGUGAAAUUCCUGGGCUUAACCUGGGGGCUGCAUUUGAGACGUCAAGACUAGAGUGUGAGAGAGGGUUGUGGAAUUCCCGGUGUAGCGGUGAAAUGCGUAGAGAUCGGGAGGAACAUCAGUGGCGAAGGCGGCCAUCUGGGCCAAUACUGACGCUCAUGCACGAAAGCGUGGGGAGCAAACAGGAUUAGAUACCCGCGUAGUCCCUGUCUCUUAUAC